CUGCCGGACCUGACUGCUAUCGGAUUGAUACUAAGCCAUGCGAGUCUUUGUAGUAAUACAAGGCAGACGGCUCAGUAACACGUAGUCAACCUACCCUAUGGACAAGAAUAAUCUCGGGAAACUGGGCAUAAUUCUUGAUAGAUCAUAAUGCCUGGAAUGGUUUAUGGUUAAAAUGAUUCGUCGCCAUAGGAUGGGACUGCGGCCUAUCAGCUUGUUGGUGAGGUAAUGGCCCACCAAGGCGAUUACAGGUACGGGCUCUGAGAGGAGAAGCCCGGAGAUGGGUACUGAGACACGGACCCAGGCCCUAUGGGGCGCAGCAGGCGAGAAAACUUUGCAAUGUGCGAAAGCACGACAAGGUUAAUCCGAGUGAUUUCUGCUAAAGAAAUCUUUUGCCAGUCAUAAAACCACUGGUGAAUAAGGGGUGGGCAAGUUCUGGUGUCAGCCGCCGCGGUAAAACCAGCACCUCAAGUGGUCAGGAUGAUUAUUGGGCCUAAAGCAUCCGUAGCCGGCUUUGUUAGUUUUCGGUUAAAUCCAUGUGCUCAACACAUGGGCUGCCGAAAAUACUGCAUAGCUAGGGAGUGGGAGAGGUAGACGGUACUCAGUAGGAAGGGGUAAAAUCCUUUGAUCUAUUGAUGACCACCUGUGGCGAAGGCGGUCUACCAGAACACGUUCGACGGUGAGGGAUGAAAGCUGGGGGAGCAAACCGGAUUAGAUACCCGGGUAGUCCCAGCUGUAAACGAUGCAGACUCGAUGAUGCAUUGGCAUAAUAGCCAGUGCAGUGUCGCAGGGAAGCCGUUAAGUCUGCCGCCUGGGAAGUACGUACGCAAGUAUGAAACUUAAAGGAAUUGGCGGGGGAGCACCACAAGGGGUGAAGCCUGCGGUUCAAU
Molecule: ribosomal RNA, 887 nt
Filed under: uncultured marine group I thaumarchaeote
Lineage: Archaea; Thermoproteati; Nitrososphaerota
Description: SSU rRNA
Rfam family: Archaeal small subunit ribosomal RNA
Source: RNAcentral